Molecule: long non-coding RNA, 965 nt
Organism: Brassica oleracea var. oleracea
Lineage: Eukaryota; Viridiplantae; Streptophyta; Magnoliopsida; Brassicales; Brassicaceae
Exons: 4
Source: RefSeq, a predicted model, not a curated record
GUAAAAAAAAAAAGAGAAAGAGAGAGAGAGGCUCGACGCCCUAGCAAACCUCGGCCUCCUUCUCUUCUUCUUCCUCGUCGGCCUCGAGAUUGAUCUGAAAUCUCUCCGCCGCACCAGCCAAAAAGUGAUUUCCAUCGCAGCCGCCAGAAUCCUCCCCCCUUUCGCGAUGGGCGUCAUCACCUCAAGUUUCUUCACCGGAAUCUGUAUCUUCACCACCACCACCACAACCCCCACCACCACCAUCGCUCCCAUCCACCAUCGCUUCUCAGAUCCGUCUUCACCGGAGUCGCCACCACCACCGUCACGCUCGUCAUAACCACCACUCAGCUCUCUGUCUCUCACUUUCUGUUUCUUGUUCUCUCUACAUUGAGAAAGAAGCAUGAGGCGCUCACCAGUGGCAGUUCUUUUACCAAAUCUAGAAGCAUUGCUUCAGGUCUGGUGUUUUUGCUGGUAAAUCUGUUGGAGCUCAAGUGAUUGUUGUUAUUUCUCUGCCUAAACAGACGCAUUUUUGCGUUGCGCGUUUCCAGGGAUAGAGAACAGUUUAUCAAAGGAUUUGGCUGUGGCUCUAAAUGACUCAGAAUCCCCUAGUAGUGAAUUUUUUAAGCCUAGGUUAUCUGACAAGGCGAAGCUUCAUGGAGAGCUUGAUACUGGAAGAAGACAGAGGCUAAGUCCUUUGGUGCUUUCUUAUACCUUUGGUGAUACUGGAAGAAGACAGAUGGAGUUGGUUCAGAAGCGAGGGAAGAGAGAUAGAUGAGAAGCUUCAGGGUGGUGGAAGAGCAGAGAUGUUAAGGAUGAUUAUGAAGGGUUAUUAGUGGUAGAUUGAUAGUAUGUUUGAUAGGUUUUGAUGGUUUGUGUAAAGAGAAAAAUGUUUUAUGGUUGUGUAAGCAUGUAAAUAUUUAUUAGUUUUUACAAAUAUUUGAAAUAUAUAUUACAUUAAAAAUCAAUUCAUAAUUAUUUUUAAUAAA